This 319-nucleotide ribosomal RNA is filed under the name uncultured eukaryote. RNAcentral describes it as "partial 18S ribosomal RNA". It matches the Rfam family "Eukaryotic small subunit ribosomal RNA", at positions 1470 to 1796 of the family's 1831-position model. The record is from RNAcentral.
CCCUUAGAUGUUCUGUGCAGCACGCGCGCUACAAUGGUCUUCGCAAACGGAUGCAUUCUCGAAGGAGAAUGCCAAUCUUGGAAUCUAUGCCUUGGUCGGGACAGUUGCUUGCAAUUUUUCGACUCGAACCAGGAAUUCCUUGUAAUCGUGAUUCAUCACAUCACGAUGAAUACGUCCCUGCCCUUUGUACACACCGCCCGUCGCUCCUACCGAUCGAAGAGUUAGGUGAAUUGUUUUGAUCGAUAAGAUUUGACUAUGGUCAACUCUCGUUGUGAAAUUCUGUGAAUCUGACUGUUUAGAGGAAGGAAAAGUCGUAACA